GGCGGCUCGGGCAUCAGCGUCACCGUCGGCGCCCCCAACGACGUGCUCUCCAACAUCGCCGCCAGCCCCGCCGCCGCCGCGUCCUGGGUCCGCAACAACAUCCAGGCGUACCCGUCCGUGUCCUUCCGCUACAUCUGCGUCGGCAACGAGGUCGCCGGCGGCGCGGCUCAGAACCUGGCGCCGGCGAUGGAGAACGUCCACGCCGCGCUGGCCGCUGCCGGGCUCGGCCACAUCAAGGUGACGACGUCGGUGUCGCAGGCCAUCCUGGGCGUGUACAGCCCGCCCUCCGCCGCCGAGUUCACCGGCGAGGCCAAGGGGUACAUGGGCCCCGUGCUGUCGUUCCUGGCCCGGACCGGGUCGCCGCUGAUGGCCAACAUCUACCCGUACCUUGCGUGGGCCUACAACCCGAGCGCCAUGGACAUGAGCUACGCGCUCUUCACCUCCAAGGGCACGGUGGUGCAGGACGGCGCCUACGGGUACCAGAACCUGUUCGACACGACGGUGGACGCCUUCUACUUCGCCAUGGGCCGGCACGGCGGCUCCGGCGUGCCGCUGGUGGUGUCGGAGAGCGGGUGGCCGUCCGGCGGCGGCGAGCAGGCGAACGCGGCCAACGCCAGGAUCUACAACCAGUACCUGAUCAACCACGUCGGGCGCGGCACGCCGAGGCACCCCGGCGGCAUCGAGACCUACCUCUUCUCCAUGUUCAACGAGAACCAGAAGGACAGCGGCGUGGAGCAGAACUGGGGGCUCUUCUACCCCAACAUGCAGCACGUCUACCCCAUCAGCUUCUGAUCACCGGAGCUCUCGUCUAUGAUUAAGUACGUAUACGGGGUACG
Molecule: long non-coding RNA, 836 nt
Filed under: Setaria italica (foxtail millet)
Lineage: Eukaryota; Viridiplantae; Streptophyta; Magnoliopsida; Poales; Poaceae
Description: long non-coding RNA (SITA_LNC002204)
Source: RNAcentral